UACAGAGGGUGCAAGCGUUAAUCGGAAUUACUGGGCGUAAAGCGUGCGUAGACGGUUAUGUAAGUCGGAUGUGAAAGCCCCGGGCUCAACCUGGGAAUUGCAUUCGAGACUGCAUAGCUAGGAUGCGGAAGAGGGAAGCGGAAUUUCCGGUGUAGCGGUGAAAUGCGUAGAUAUCGGAAGGAACAUCAGUGGCGAAAGCGGCUUCCUGGUCCAGCAUCGACGUUCAGGCACGAAAGCGUGGGGAGCAAACAGG
Molecule: ribosomal RNA, 253 nt
Filed under: uncultured bacterium
Lineage: Bacteria
Description: partial 16S ribosomal RNA
Rfam family: Bacterial small subunit ribosomal RNA
Source: RNAcentral